UCCUGUUAUACCCAGGAAAUGCCCUGGAAGGAGACAGAACCCAUGGAAACAGCACAGAGGUCACCAUGUUUCAAGUUCCUGUCCUUGGCAACACAGUUAAAAAGUGAAUCUCCACAGUCCAGCCAUUGCUUACAAGAGAAGGGGCCACCUAUCACAGAUACUGAAUGUUUGAUCAUGGGACACCAAGUGACUGUGACAUCCAUGCUGCAUGUGGUGGUGGUGGUAGCGCAUUUGUCCAGCCAUAAAGUCAGGUGUGUCCAACAUUACUACAAAGGUGAGUUUAGGUUUAGAAAUGUAAAAUUGACUUCAGAGAAGAAAAGUUCUGAAGAAGUAGCAUCUCACUCAUUGUUCCCAGGAAGAUGAAAAGGUGAUGAUCCCCAGAAGCCUACAGUUGAACACACUUGUGACCCUAAGGGCAGGUAUGAAAGACAUUAAAAAAAAAACCUUUAUUGGUGAGGGAGAGGAAAUCUUCACCCCAAGAAAGAGAUCACAGAGUAGUCAUGAAAGUUAUACCAAAGAAAAUACUUAGGAGACAGAGAUGUCAUUAAUGUGAUGAAUGUGGAAAGUUCUUCACUAAGAAUUCAAAUUUUAUUUGACAUCAAAUAAUUCAUACUAGGGAGAGACCCUAUAAAUUUAAAGUUUGUGGGCAAGCCUUCAGUGGGAGCACCAACUUUUAUCUCCAUCAGAACAUCCACAGUGGGGAGAAACCUUGUAAUUG
Non-coding RNA from Ceratotherium simum simum (southern white rhinoceros), 718 nucleotides. The record is from RefSeq and is a predicted model, not a curated record. NCBI's taxonomy places the organism in Eukaryota, Metazoa, Chordata, Mammalia, Perissodactyla, Rhinocerotidae.